RNAcentral lists this ribosomal RNA (567 nucleotides) under Triticum aestivum (bread wheat). Its description in RNAcentral is "partial small subunit ribosomal RNA". Lineage: Eukaryota; Viridiplantae; Streptophyta; Magnoliopsida; Poales; Poaceae. The record is from RNAcentral.
AUGGUGCUACAAAUUCACAGGUACUUAAUCAUAGUUGAUGAUAUAUGGGAUGAAUCAGCCUGGAACUGUAUAAAGAGUGUACUAGUUGAGAACAAGUGCAGUAGCAGAGUAAUCACAACAACACGUAUUGCUGGUGUUGCAGCAUCAUGCAGCUCUUCCAUCAACGGUAACAUUUAUAAACUUAAUCCUCUUGCUCAUGAUGAUUCAAGGAAGUUGUUCCAUGAAAGAAUAUUUGGGAGUGAAGAUGCUUGUCAUGUGGAACUGAGAGAAAUAUCUGAGAAAAUCAUGAGAAAGUGUGAUGGUGUACCAUUAGCUAUCAUCACUAUUGCCAGCCUAUUGUCUCACAAACCAAAGAAUAUACAUGAAUGGGACACUGUCAACAAAUCAAUCGGUUCUGGACUUGAGAAGUUCCCCAAUAUGGAGAACAUGCGUCAAAUAUUGUCUAUUAGUUAUUAUGAUUUGCCGUCCCAUCUGAAACCCUGCUUUCUAUACCUGAGUGUUUAUCCGGAGGAUUAUACAAUAUUGAGUGAUCACUUGGUACGAAGAUGGAUAUCCGAAGGCCUUGUC